Molecule: non-coding RNA, 347 nt
Organism: Hydra vulgaris (swiftwater hydra)
Lineage: Eukaryota; Metazoa; Cnidaria; Hydrozoa; Anthoathecata; Hydridae
Source: RefSeq, a predicted model, not a curated record
AUGGCUCAGUUAUUCGAACGAUGCAACUGUUGAAAAAUCAGUAAGUAGAGUGAUGAGAUCUCUUUAUUCGUCUCAAAUGGCAAAAGAAACAAAUAGAACUAGUAAGAAUGGCAAAUUGGCCAUGAAUUUGAUAGAGGAUCUAGUAAAAGAAAGUGUCAGGAAAAAGCAUAUCAAUGGGGAGAACGUUACCAUUGAGCGAGCACUGACUAACCAUUUUAUUAAUGCAAGAGAUAAAGGUGGGCGUCAUAAUCGGAAAAGAGUUACCAACAAUGCUUCAAACUAAUAGCUGUAUCACUAUCCUAAUGUAAUUGUAAAUUUAAUGGAAUAAAAAUAAAUUCAUUUUUCGA